GCGACCCCAGGUCAGGCGGGGCCACCCGCCGAGUUUAAGCAUAUAAAUAAGCGGAGGAGAAGAAACUUACGAGGAUUCCCAUAGUAACGGCGAGCGAACCGGGAUCAGCCCAGCUUGAGAAUCGGGCGGCCGCGCCGUCCGAAUUGUAGUCUGGAGAAGCGUCAUCAGCGACGGACCGGGCCCAAGUCCCCUGGAAAUGGGCGCCGGGGAGGGUGAGAGUCCCGUCCGGUCCGGACCC
This 238-nucleotide ribosomal RNA is filed under the name Stachyphrynium repens. RNAcentral's name for it is "partial 26S ribosomal RNA". It matches the Rfam family "Eukaryotic large subunit ribosomal RNA", at positions 1 to 237 of the family's 3401-position model. Lineage: Eukaryota; Viridiplantae; Streptophyta; Magnoliopsida; Zingiberales; Marantaceae. The record is from RNAcentral.